UAGCCUCCACCACCAAUCUAUGAAACUCAUAGCAUGAGCCUCCGACUUUGAGAACAGUCUCAAGGACGCGCUAGCUCGUAGCGCAUUUCCGCUCUCUCAACAUUAAAGUCGAAGCCACCAGAUCUGAAGAUCUUGCCCCGCCGCUGCCGCCAUCACUGCAAUUCUCUAUCUAGUUGUAGAAGACGAUAUCAAAAACUCAAAAAUCUCUCCCU
Molecule: long non-coding RNA, 212 nt
Filed under: Erythranthe guttata (spotted monkey flower)
Lineage: Eukaryota; Viridiplantae; Streptophyta; Magnoliopsida; Lamiales; Phrymaceae
Description: long non-coding RNA (EGUT_LNC002690)
Source: RNAcentral